UACGUAGGUGGCAAGCGUUGUCCGGAUUUAUUGGGUUUAAAGGGUGCGUAGGCGGCCCUGUAAGUCAGUGGUGAAAGCCCUUCGCUUAACGAAGGAACUGCCAUUGAUACUGCAAAUCUUGAGUACAUUUGAUGAGGGCGGAAUGUGUCAUGUAGCGGUGAAAUGCUUAGAUAUGACACAGAACACCGAUUGCGAAGGCAGCUCUCAAAACUGUAACUGACGCUGAGGCACGAAAGCGUGGGUAUCAAACAGG
Molecule: ribosomal RNA, 253 nt
Filed under: uncultured bacterium
Lineage: Bacteria
Description: partial 16S ribosomal RNA
Rfam family: Bacterial small subunit ribosomal RNA
Source: RNAcentral